GAACCUGAAACCGUGUACGUACAAGCAGUGGGAGCACCCUUCGGGGUGUGACUGCGUACCUUUUGUAUAAUGGGUCAGCGACUUAUAUUCUGUAGCAAGGUUAACCGAAUAGGGGAGCCGGAGGGAAACCGAGUCUUAAUUGGGCGUUAAGUUGCAGGGUAUAGACCCGAAACCCGGUGAUCUAGCCAUGGGCAGGUUGAAGGUUGGGUAACACUAACUGGAGGACCGAACCGACUAAUGUUGAAAAAUUAGCGGAUGACCUGUGGCUGGGGGUGAAAGGCCAAUCAAACCGGGAGAUAGCUGGUUCUCCCCGAAAGCUAUUUAGGUAGCGCCUCGUGAAUUCAUCUCCGGGGGUAGAGCACUGUUUCGGCUAGGGGGCCAUCCCGGCUUACCAACCCGAUGCAAACUGCGAAUACCGGAGAAUGUUAUCACGGGAGACACACGGCGGGUGCUAACGUCCGUCGUGAAGAGGGAAACAACCCAGACCGCCAGCUAAGGUCCCAAAGUCAUGGUUAAGUGGGAAACGAUGUGGGAAGGCCCAGACAGCCAGGAUGUUGGCUUAGAAGCAGCCAUCAUUUAAAGAAAGCGUAAUAGCUCACUGGUCGAGUCGGCCUGCGCGGAAGAUGUAACGGGGCUAAACCAUGCACCGAAGCUGCGGCAGCGACACUGUGUGUUGUUGGGUAGGGGAGCGUUCUGUAAGCCUGUGAAGGUGUGUCGUGAGGCAUGCUGGAGGUAUCAGAAGUGCGAAUGCUGACAUAAGUAACGAUAAAGCGGGUGAAAAGCCCGCUCGCCGGAAGACCAAGGGUUCCUGUCCAACGUUAAUCGGGGCAGGGUGAGUCGACCCCUAAGGCGAGGCCGAAAGGCGUAGUCGAUGGGAAACGGGUUAAUAUUCCCGUACUUGGUGUUACUGCGAAGGGGGGACGGAGAAGGCUAUGUUGGCCGGGCGACGGUUGUCCCGGUUUAAGCGUGUAGGUGUGUGUUCCAGGUAAAUCCGGUUCACUUUAACACUGAGGCGUGACGACGAGGCACUACGGUGCUGAAGCAACAAAUGCCCUGCUUCCAGGAAAAGCCUCUAAGCAUCAGGUAACAUCAAAUCGUACCCCAAACCGACACAGGUGGUCAGGUAGAGAAUACCAAGGCGCUUGAGAGAACUCGGGUGAAGGAACUAGGCAAAAUGGUGCCGUAACUUCGGGAGAAGGCACGCUGACACGUAGGUGAAGUGAUUUACUCAUGGAGCUGAAGUCAGUCGAAGAUACCAGCUGGCUGCAACUGUUUAUUAAAAACACAGCACUGUGCAAACACGAAAGUGGACGUAUACGGUGUGACGCCUGCCCGGUGCCGGAAGGUUAAUUGAUGGGGUCAGCGCAAGCGAAGCUCCUGAUCGAAGCCCCGGUAAACGGCGGCCGUAACUAUAACGGUCCUAAGGUAGCGAAAUUCCUUGUCGGGUAAGUUCCGACCUGCACGAAUGGCGUAAUGAUGGCCAGGCUGUCUCCACCCGAGACUCAGUGAAAUUGAACUCGCUGUGAAGAUGCAGUGUACCCGCGGCAAGACGGAAAGACCCCGUGAACCUUUACUAUAGCUUGACACUGAACAUUGAGCCUUGAUGUGUAGGAUAGGUGGGAGGCUUUGAAGCGUGGACGCCAGUCUGCGUGGAGCCGACCUUGAAAUACCACCCUUUAAUGUUUGAUGUUCUAACGUGGACCCGUGAUCCGGGUUGCGGACAGUGUCUGGUGGGUAGUUUGACUGGGGCGGUCUCCUCCUAAAGAGUAACGGAGGAGCACGAAGGUUGGCUAAUCCUGGUCGGACAUCAGGAGGUUAGUGCAAUGGCAUAAGCCAGCUUGACUGCGAGCGUGACGGCGCGAGCAGGUGCGAAAGCAGGUCAUAGUGAUCCGGUGGUUCUGAAUGGAAGGGCCAUCGCUCAACGGAUAAAAGGUACUCCGGGGAUAACAGGCUGAUACCGCCCAAGAGUUCAUAUCGACGGCGGUGUUUGGCACCUCGAUGUCGGCUCAUCACAUCCUGGGGCUGAAGUAGGUCCCAAGGGUAUGGCUGUUCGCCAUUUAAAGUGGUACGCGAGCUGGGUUUAGAACGUCGUGAGACAGUUCGGUCCCUAUCUGCCGUGGGCGCUGGAGAACUGAGGGGGGCUGCUCCUAGUACGAGAGGACCGGAGUGGACGCAUCACUGGUGUUCGGGUUGUCAUGCCAAUGGCACUGCCCGGUAGCUAAAUGCGGAAGAGAUAAGUGCUGAAAGCAUCUAAGCACGAAACUUGCCCCGAGAUGAGUUCUCCCUGAGACUUAGAGUCUCCUGAAGGAACGUUGAAGACGACGACGUUGAUAGGCCGGGUGUGUAAGCGCAGCGAUGCGUUGAGCUAACCGGUACUAAUGAACCGUGAGGCUUAACCUUACAACGCCGAAG
Molecule: ribosomal RNA, 2412 nt
Filed under: Salmonella enterica subsp. enterica serovar Stanley
Lineage: Bacteria; Pseudomonadati; Pseudomonadota; Gammaproteobacteria; Enterobacterales; Enterobacteriaceae
Description: partial 23S ribosomal RNA
Rfam family: Bacterial large subunit ribosomal RNA
Source: RNAcentral